RNAcentral lists this ribosomal RNA (406 nucleotides) under uncultured bacterium. RNAcentral describes it as "partial 16S ribosomal RNA". It matches the Rfam family "Bacterial small subunit ribosomal RNA", at positions 28 to 526 of the family's 1533-position model. The record is from RNAcentral.
GACGAACGCUGGCGGCGUGCUUGACACAUGCAAGUCGAACGAGUGGCGAAAGGGUGAGUAACACGUGAGUAACCCUCCCUCUUUUUGGGAUAAGCCUUGUGAACGGGGUCUAUUACCGGACAAUGGGGGAAGGGCUCGCGGCCUAUCAGCUUGUUGGUGGGGUGAUGGCCUACCAAGGCGGUGACGGGUAGCCGGCCGGAGAGGGUGAACGGCGACAUUGGGACUGAGAUACGGCGCAGACUCGGAAGGGAGGCAGAAGUGGGGGAUAUUGCGCAAGGGGAGAAAGCCUGAUGCAACGACGCGGAGUGGGGGAUGAAGGCGUGCGGGUUGUAAACCUCGUUCGAGAGGGAACGGGUGGGUGGAGAAGAAGCGCCGGCUAACUACGUGCCAGCAGCCGCGGUAAUUC